RNAcentral lists this unclassified non-coding RNA (1427 nucleotides) under Hevea brasiliensis (rubber tree). Lineage: Eukaryota; Viridiplantae; Streptophyta; Magnoliopsida; Malpighiales; Euphorbiaceae. The record is from RNAcentral.
GGAGAGAAGAAUUAUACGUUACCGUUCCCCCACUUUUCCGAUGUCCGAUAUCCAUGGACGUAAUGAAGUCUCCGAUAAGUCUCUGCACCGGCGUCACUUACGAUCGGAAUUCCAUUCAAACUUGGCUUUCACAAGGUCAUAAUACUUGUCCCGCUACUAUGCAAAUCCUUCCGUCUACGGAUUUCACACCUAACCUCACUCUCCGGAGGCUUAUCAACGUCUGGAUACAGCAUCAGCCGGCGAGUUCACCGGGAUCUACAACGCCGUCUUCAUCCUCUGUUACAAAAACGGAAGUUGUUGAAAUUGUUGAAAAUCUCAACGGCGAGGUCGAUAGGUUGAGUUCCUUGGCGAAGAUUGGGGAAUUUGUUAAAUGUUCUGGUGAAAACAGGAGUUUUUUUGUGAAUUUGAGUGAUGCGAUUGCGAAUAUUGUUGGAGUUUUGGUGGAUUGUGAUGUGGUUGAGGUUUGUGAAGCGGUUGUUGCGGUUUUGGAUUUAGUUGUAUCGGAGAAUGGAGUUAAGGAGCAGUUGAACAAAGAGAUUUUGAAGAGCUAUCAGAAAUUUCUACCGAAGUUUCUUUUGGUUCUUCGUAAAGGAAAGUUGAGUUCGAGGAUUCAAACCGCUCGGAUUCUAGAAUUCAUCGCAUUAGACGCCGAUUCACAGCGAAAAAUGGUCGAGGAGCAAGGUUUACUCUACGAAUUGCACGUAUUCACUAGCACGGAGACGAACCGAUUCGCGAUCGAAGUCGGUUUAUCAACUCUAAUCGCGGUCUCAACCACCAGACUGGCGAAGAAAGAGCUAGUCCGGUUCGGAAUUAUACAAACUAUCGGAAAAAUCCUUAGCAAUUCGGAAACCGCUCGGGCGGUGGUAGAGAAGUCAUUGUAGCUGUUGGAAACAGUAGCGACGUGUGCAGAAGGCAGGACGGCGAUAGGUAAAGGCGAAGAGUGCUUGUCGGCGAUAGUUACAAGGCUGAUGAAGAGCUCGAAAGCAGCGACGGAGCACGGGGUGACAGUACUAUGGAGCGUGUGUUGUUUGUUUCGUCAUACGGCGGCGCGUGAGGUAGUGGGAAAGGCAAAUGGGCUAACAAAAGUGUUGCUGGUAAUGCAGAGUGAUUGCUCCGCGGCGGUACGGCAGAUGUGUGGGGAAUUAGUGAAAGCAUUGCGCGUGGUGAAUACUUUCUCAGUCCGGACGGAGGAAGUAAUAAAGAUAAAGAAUUAUUCAAAGUCGUGUUUGGCGAGUUAUGAUACCCAAACUACUCACAUUAUGCCCUACUGAAAAAUAUAAUAAAUACCCCUCUUAAUUGGUGCUGACUAACCAUCCAUACCAAAAGAAUCAAACACUAUUUUUCUUUUUUUUGUCUUUUAAUAAUUAUUAGUCCAUUUGUUUGUUUAUAGAAAUGGAAUUAGGUAAGAUUCAUGCUGUAAAUCCAAA